AACAACUAUAGGUCACCGUACGGCCUUCAACAAUGAGCAAAGCCCAUACCGCAUAGUCAGCUAUAAAAGGCCCCGAUAAGACAAUGUAAAACAAUUCAAACGAGAAACUAACGGCCUUAUUUAUGUAAAAAAAUUAACGAAAAACAAAUAUGUAACACAUAUACAAAUGACAACCACUGAAUAUACAGGCUCCUGACUUGGGACAGGCACAUACAUAAAUAAUGUGGCGGGGUUAAACAUGUUAGCUGGAUCCCAACCCUCCCCCUAACCUGGGACAGUGGUAUAACAGUACAACAUAAGAACGAAC
RNAcentral lists this long non-coding RNA (307 nucleotides) under Mytilus galloprovincialis (Mediterranean mussel). The record is from RNAcentral. Lineage: Eukaryota; Metazoa; Mollusca; Bivalvia; Mytilida; Mytilidae.